This 253-nucleotide ribosomal RNA is filed under the name uncultured bacterium. Its description in RNAcentral is "partial 16S ribosomal RNA". It matches the Rfam family "Bacterial small subunit ribosomal RNA", at positions 524 to 776 of the family's 1533-position model. RNAcentral also lists the same sequence under 1 other name. The record is from RNAcentral.
UACGAAGGGGGCGAGCGUUGUUCGGAUUUACUGGGCGUAAAGGGCGCGUAGGCGGCCCUCUUUGUCGCGUGUGAAAGCCCCGGGCUCAACCUGGGAAUUGCGCGCGAAACGGGGGGGCUUGAGUUCGGGAGAGGAGCGUGGAAUUCCCAGUGUAGAGGUGAAAUUCGUAGAUAUUGGGAAGAACACCGGUGGCGAAGGCGGCGCUCUGGACCGAGACUGACGCUGAGGCGCGAAAGCGUGGGGAGCAAACAGG